Molecule: ribosomal RNA, 253 nt
Filed under: uncultured bacterium
Lineage: Bacteria
Description: partial 16S ribosomal RNA
Rfam family: Bacterial small subunit ribosomal RNA
Source: RNAcentral
GACAGAGGGGGCAAGCGUUGCUCGGAAUUACUGGGCGUAAAGGGCGCGUAGGCGGAAUGGCAAGUCGGUCGUGAAAUCCUUCGGCUCAACCGAAGAACGUCGAUCGAAACUGCCGUUCUUGAGGAUUGCAGAGGAGACUGGAAUUCCCGGUGUAGCGGUGAAAUGCGUAGAUAUCAGGAGGAAUACCGAUGGCGAAGGCAGGUCUCUGGGCUGACACUGACGCUCAUGCACGAAAGCGUGGGGAGCAAACAGG